RNAcentral lists this ribosomal RNA (497 nucleotides) under uncultured bacterium. RNAcentral describes it as "partial 16S ribosomal RNA". It matches the Rfam family "Bacterial small subunit ribosomal RNA", at positions 28 to 507 of the family's 1533-position model. The record is from RNAcentral.
GAUGAACGCUGGCGGCGUGCCUAAUACAUGCAAGUCGAGCGAACGGACGAGAAGCUUGCUUCUCUGAUGUUAGCGGCGGACGGGUGAGUAACACGUGGAUAACCUACCUAUAAGACUGGGAUAACUUCGGGAAACCGGAGCUAAUACCGGAUAAUAUUUUGAACCGCAUGGUUCAAAAGUGAAAGACGGUCUUGCUGUCACUUAUAGAUGGAUCUGCGCUGCAUUAGCUAGUUGGUAAGGUAACGGCUUACCAAGGCAACGAUGCAUAGCCGACCUGAGAGGGGGAUCGGCCACACUGGAACUGAGACACGGUCCAGACUCCUACGGGAGGCAGCAGUAGGGAAUCUUCCGCAAUGGGCGAAAGCCUGACGGAGCAACGCCGCGUGAGUGAUGAAGGUCUUCGGAUCGUAAAACUCUGUUAUUAGGGAAGAACAUAUGUGUAAGUAACUGUGCACAUCUUGACGGUACCUAAUCAGAAAGCCACGGCUAACUACGUG